This 253-nucleotide ribosomal RNA is filed under the name uncultured bacterium. Its description in RNAcentral is "partial 16S ribosomal RNA". It matches the Rfam family "Bacterial small subunit ribosomal RNA", at positions 524 to 776 of the family's 1533-position model. The record is from RNAcentral.
UACAGAGGGUGCGAGCGUUAUUCGGAAUUACUGGGCGUAAAGCGUGCGUAGACGGUUAUUUAAGUCGGAUGUGAAAGCCCCGGGCUCAACCUGGGAAUUGCAUUCGAGACUGAAUAGCUAGGGUACGGUAGAGGGAAGCGGAAUUUCCGGUGUAGCGGUGAAAUGCGUAGAUAUCGGAAGGAACAUCAGUGGCGAAAGCGGCUUCCUGGACCAGUACCGACGUUCAGGCACGAAAGCGUGGGGAGCAAACAGG